UACGUAGGGUGCGAGCGUUGUCCGGAAUUAUUGGGCGUAAAGAGCUUGUAGGCGGUUUGUCGCGUCUUCUGUGAAAAUCCGGGGCUCAACCCCGGACUUGCAGUGGGUACGGGCAGACUAGAGUGUGGUAGGGGAGACUGGAAUUCCUGGUGUAGCGGUGAAAUGCGCAGAUAUCAGGAGGAACACCGAUGGCGAAGGCAGGUCUCUGGGCCACUACUGACGCUGAGAAGCGAAAGCAUGGGGAGCGAACAGG
RNAcentral lists this ribosomal RNA (253 nucleotides) under uncultured bacterium. RNAcentral describes it as "partial 16S ribosomal RNA". It matches the Rfam family "Bacterial small subunit ribosomal RNA", at positions 524 to 776 of the family's 1533-position model. The record is from RNAcentral.